GCACCAGCUGUGGCCUUCACCUCUUCUUCACGCUUCACUCUUCCCACAGGCUGAGAAACUCUUUUUAAGUCCAGCCUUGCACUCUAAUCAUCUCUGUUUUCCUGGAUGGAGGAAUACUGAGUAAUUGUCAGACAAUAGGAGUUCAGCAGGUUUCUUGGGCUGCUUGCAAGACCCAGGAGGCAGUGUUGUGCUACUGAAAGCAGGAGAACUUGAACCUUGCUUGGAGUGGCAUGUUUCCAGGACGCUUUGUGUGCUGCACAUUUGGCAUUUGAAGAGGGGGAGGAUUUCUUGUCUUUUCCAGCACUUCUUGAGAGCAUCUGGAAACUUCAUACCCAUCAUGUAUUUCAGGUGCUGGGCUGAGGAUGCUGAAUCCUACCUGUAUCAAGGACUUCUGCAAGGAUCCUUUCUUGUGGCCAAAAAUUGCUGUAUGGGAAUGAGUGCUCGUGUUCGUGUUUCUGAAUUUUGCACAUUACUUUCUACUUCAAUCAGAAAUUGUCAGUGAGUCUAAAUUGAAUGCAGCUUUUAUAUGUAUUUCUUUGGGCAUCAUGGCCAUAAACAAGGCUGGGUGGUUUCAAACCUGUCUGCCAGCAGUACCAACUUUCAUGCUGUCAUUCCUUUUUCUCCCUCUCCCUCCUCUCAGUUCCCAUCAUUUGGCCUUCUGACUUAACAAGAACUACUACCUGUUCUUUGGGAAAUGUUCUCGAUAUGAGUUACCCCGGAAAGUCUGAGAGGGUAAAUAUAUCUAGUUUAUUUUGAGGAAAUUUGCAUAGGUGACCAUAGCUCUUGCAUUUCUGAGAGCAUAUCCUCCUACCUAGCUUGUCAUCUUUAUGUAGGGCCACCAAGACUGCAGUAGCUCCUGCACAUGCAAAAUCUGCUUUGUUGAGUAAAUAUCAAUGCUUUUUGGAUGUAGACUUGUGUACACAAAAUCAAGGCUUGAAAUAAGAGAUUUGAGGAUAUAUGUGUCCCUCGCAUCUUGACCUUGGGAAUCAA
Non-coding RNA from Meleagris gallopavo (turkey), 990 nucleotides. The record is from RefSeq and is a predicted model, not a curated record. NCBI's taxonomy places the organism in Eukaryota, Metazoa, Chordata, Aves, Galliformes, Phasianidae.